AGAUAAAAAAAAAUAUUAUUAAAUUAUUUUGAAAUGAUAAAAAAAAAAAAAGCCAGGCCUGCGCAUGCGCCUUGCUUUAUUUUUUACAGACAACAGAAUGUUUAUUUGAAAAUAAAGGUGCCAAUGUCGCUGCGACUUGUGUGCUAGCCAUACAUUUUUCUUUUAUGAAUUUGUAGUUUUUUUUUUUUUUACAAGUAGAUAAUUAUUAGUGGUUAGUUGAUAGUAUUAAAAAAAUAAAUAAAAAUCUGGCUUAAUAUCUGUCAUCGCAUGUAAUUGAUAGGAGCACUACAAUAAAUAUGAGGAUCUAAUUAGGACGGUCUCUUACAUGAACAAACUCAAUUUCAAACAAAAAUCGAAAAUUGAACCCUUGAUUGCCACUUCCAAGGAGCCAAAUACCCAUUGACAUGAAUUUGCAGUGAACCCCACAUAUUUGAAUGAAACUUGUGGUGAAAGAAAAUUGUGAUCAUAAGGUGGUGCCGGUGCUUUUAUACCCAAUCCAAACAAGGUGAUAAACACUAACAAUUUAAGCUAAAAUGGUGUUUCGAUCUGAUAUAUGAUCUAACUAACUUGACCGCUUCUUAGUUCUCAUAUAUUAACUUUUGACAGCUAAAACAGAUAGUAGAGAGGACUGAUCACUUGAGCUUUUAAUUCCUUUUCCGCUAACUACUAUGCGCUCUUGCUCCUGAUUGAGGCAAAUAUAAAUGUUAAAAAAGAAAUCUGUUACUUACAGUCUGAAAAUAAGUAAAUAUCCAUGUAGAAUCUGAAGAUAAAAGUUCAAGAGAGAAUUCAUUGUGAGGAACUUUCCCAGCACAAGCACCUCAGGAUUUGGACCACAAAAUGAACCGCAAUGAAUUGGAGAGUGAUUCGUUAAUGCUUGAACAUACAAUUGGAGCUUGUAUAACAGGGCCCUUCGGGGGUUUCUGCUUAACCUUCCUGAUUUGCAUGAUUAAGCAUUUGAGAGCAACAGAGGUCAUUAAUGUGGUGCUGAUGGUCAUAAUUGGCUUAGCAACAAUAUAUUUUUUCCUAGUUGCUUUUAUAUGCUCCUUUCGUCUGUUCGAAGAGAUUUCGAAACGGACGAAGGUGGCUGUUGCUCCAGAGCCAAUCGCUGCAUAAACUAUUCAUGGAUUAAUAGUAGUUGUUAUAAUUAAUCAAUCUCUAAGUUCAAUGCAAUUGGUUUCAUUUCCUUCCAGCUCUUGGUAUAGUCUACUUAGUUUGAUCAUAGUAUUAAAUGGGAAGCUUUUAAGCAGGAUAUGGCUUUUCUGCCUUGUCCCCAAUUUCUUCUUCAUGCAGUGUUUCUGUUUCUGUUCUUGGAUAUUGUUGGGUCCACUGUUAUUAAAUAUGGCAUUCGACUUCUGAGGCAUUCAUCAGAAUGUUUUUGAAA
Molecule: long non-coding RNA, 1381 nt
Organism: Populus trichocarpa (black cottonwood)
Lineage: Eukaryota; Viridiplantae; Streptophyta; Magnoliopsida; Malpighiales; Salicaceae
Exons: 2
Source: RefSeq, a predicted model, not a curated record